CCAAGGAGUCUAAUUAGGCAUCAAGUCGAUCGGUCUUGAUAGGCCAGACGGGUGGAUUCGUCCACCGAUUGAAGGCGUAAGAAAUCAAAUCAUGUGAUCAUGGGGGCAAUAUCAGCCCUUAUGCGCAACAUGUGCCUGUUCGUAUAGUAAUGUUAGCAAUAACUUACUGGGCGGAGCAAAGAGAUGCCUGAUUGGUACCCGAAAGAUGGUGAACUAUGCUUGGGCAAAUUGAAGCCAGAGGAAACUCUGGUGGAGGAUUGUAGCGAUUCUGACGUGCAAAUCGAUCGUCAGACCUGAGUAUAGGGGCGAAAGACUAAUCGAACCAUC
RNAcentral lists this ribosomal RNA (327 nucleotides) under Platyphytoptus sabinianae. RNAcentral's name for it is "eukaryotic LSU rRNA". It matches the Rfam family "Eukaryotic large subunit ribosomal RNA", at positions 666 to 944 of the family's 3401-position model. Lineage: Eukaryota; Metazoa; Arthropoda; Arachnida; Trombidiformes; Eriophyidae. The record is from RNAcentral.